This 481-nucleotide ribosomal RNA is filed under the name uncultured bacterium. Its description in RNAcentral is "partial 16S ribosomal RNA". It matches the Rfam family "Bacterial small subunit ribosomal RNA", at positions 28 to 523 of the family's 1533-position model. The record is from RNAcentral.
GACGAACGCUGGCGGCGUGCUUAACACAUGCAAGUCGAACGCUGAAGCCCUUCGGGGUGGAUGAGUGGCGAACGGGUGAGUAACACGUGGGUAAUCUGCCCUGCACUCUGGGAUAAGCCUUGGAAACGGGGUCUAAUACCGGAUAGGACACAUCGCCGGCUGGUGGGUGCGUGGAAAGUUCCGGCGGUGCAGGUUGAGCCCGCGGCCUAUCAGCUUGUUGGUGGGGUGAUGGCCUACCAAGGCGACGACGGGUAGCCGGCCUGAGAGGGUGACCGGCCACACUGGGACUGAGACACGGCCCAGACUCCUACGGGAGGCAGCAGUGGGGAAUCUUGCGCAAUGGGCGAAAGCCUGACGCAGCAACGCCGCGUGGGGGAUGACGGCCUUCGGGUUGUAAACCUCUUUCGACCGGGACGAAGGAUUCGUUUGACGGUACCGGUAGAAGAAGCACCGGCUAACUACGUGCCAGCCGCCGCAGUAA